GCCUUCGUGGUGUAGUGGUCAGCACGCUUGACAAGUAGCCGAGAAGUUCGUGGUUCGAUUCCCGGCGAAGGCU
Molecule: transfer RNA, 73 nt
Filed under: Stegodyphus mimosarum
Lineage: Eukaryota; Metazoa; Arthropoda; Arachnida; Araneae; Eresidae
Rfam family: tRNA
About the family: Transfer RNA (tRNA) molecules are approximately 80 nucleotides in length.
Source: Rfam by way of RNAcentral